RNAcentral lists this ribosomal RNA (464 nucleotides) under uncultured bacterium. Its description in RNAcentral is "partial 16S ribosomal RNA". It matches the Rfam family "Bacterial small subunit ribosomal RNA", at positions 28 to 506 of the family's 1533-position model. The record is from RNAcentral.
GACGAACGCUGGCGGCGUGCUUAACACAUGCAAGUCGUACGGUAAGGCCCUUUCGGGGGUACACGAGUGGCGAACGGGUGAGUAACACGUGAGUAACCUGCCCACAACUUUGGGAUAACGCUAGGAAACUGGUGCUAAUACUGGCUAUGUGCUCCUGCUGCAUGGUGGGGGUUGGAAAGCUCCGGCGGUUGUGGAUGGACUCGCGGCCUAUCAGCUUGUUGGUGGGGUAGUGGCUUACCAAGGCGGCGACGGGUAGCCGGCCUGAGAGGGUGACCGGCCACAUUGGGACUGAGAUACGGCCCAGACUCCUACGGGAGGCAGCAGUGGGGAAUAUUGCACAAUGGGCGCAAGCCUGAUGCAGCAACGCCGCGUGCGGGAUGACGGCCUUCGGGUUGUAAACCGCUUUCAGCAGGGACGAAGCUUUUUGUGACGGUACCUGCAGAAGAAGCACCGGCUAACUACGU